Physella acuta is the source of this 450-nucleotide long non-coding RNA. RefSeq lists it as uncharacterized. NCBI's taxonomy places the organism in Eukaryota, Metazoa, Mollusca, Gastropoda, Physidae. The record is from RefSeq and is a predicted model, not a curated record.
AGACGAUGAAGCAGACGCCUGCUAGGCAUCUUUUAUGCUUUAGUAUCAACUUCUUUCAUUGUGUAGGAGUUACAGCGGAUUUCAUUCACAGUAGGAUUAUUUCUCGGUCGACCUUCUCUUGACAAGUAGGAUGAUAGCUGGGAUAAACAAUAAAUAGAAGAAUCAGCACUUUGCAAAAGAUGUCAGCACACUGAAGAGGAUGUCAACACUUUCUAUAAAUGUCAGGACUUUGUAGACGAUGUUGACUUCAAUUAAAAUAUCCAACCCAAACGUUUCAUAUAAACAGAUACGGAACAAUCCAAAGAGAUGUCUGUGCCAAGUGUUUCUCGCAACCUACCUGAUCAGCCGGCAACCACACAUAUUGCCUGAAGUCUCGUACAUAAGGAAGAUGAGGACGCCGCUGUCAGAAGAUUGUCACAUACCACAACAGAGACGCCCCCUGUCAGAAGA